AUAAAGAGCUAGAGAUAAACCUUGAAUUAGUUAAAGGGUGACAAAAAGCUUAUGUAACUUGAUUGCUAUAUUAUAAGAAGGGUUGUAGUCUUUAAUGGUGGUGUUUUAUGAGAACCAUAUUCCAUAAAGUCCACAAAAGUUGCAACAGCCACGUUAAAUCGUAUAUGAUUCCCUUUGCAUUGGAGUAAUUGUUUUGGCAUAUUUUGGAACAAAGUUCGUGUUACAUUCCUGCUGUGUCAUUUUAUCCACCCGUCUGUAUUGUAAUGUUUCUCCAUAUUUUCUUCAUGAAGACACAAUGGAUGAGGAUGAGUAUAUGGGAGUUCUUUGGGGUUUUGUAAAGCUUUCAAGGCCUUAUGUGAACCCAAGAUUGUCGUGAUUCUUUUUGUCCACAAGGUAGUUGAAGAAUCCAUGGACCAUGGUAUCGAUCAAGUUCUCAUUUAUGCAUCAGUUUGAUUAGAUUAGGUCACACAUACAUGUAAUAUUACAGUAAAUUUAUCUUUUGGAUUAUUGUAAAAUCUUUACCGAUAAUGUAAGUUAUAUUUUUUAUUAUCAAUAUAAAUAUCUUUCCAAACA
This is a long non-coding RNA of Cucumis melo (muskmelon), 573 nucleotides long. RefSeq lists it as uncharacterized. The transcript has 3 exons. The record is from RefSeq and is a predicted model, not a curated record. Lineage: Eukaryota; Viridiplantae; Streptophyta; Magnoliopsida; Cucurbitales; Cucurbitaceae.